Molecule: ribosomal RNA, 301 nt
Filed under: uncultured bacterium
Lineage: Bacteria
Description: partial 16S ribosomal RNA
Rfam family: Bacterial small subunit ribosomal RNA
Source: RNAcentral
CAGUAGCCGCGGUAAUACAGAGGGUGCGAGCGUUAAUCGGAUUUACUGGGCGUAAAGCGUGCGUAGGCGGCUUUUUAAGUCGGAUGUGAAAUCCCUGAGCUUAACUUAGGAAUUGCAUUCGAUACUGGGAAGCUAGAGUAUGGGAGAGGAUGGUAGAAUUCCAGGUGUAGCGGUGAAAUGCGUAGAGAUCUGGAGGAAUACCGAUGGCGAAGGCAGCCAUUUGGCCUAAUACUGACGCUGAGGUACGAAAGCAUGGGGAGCAAACAGGAUUAGAUACCCCCGUAGUCCCUGUCUCUUAUAA